AGUGAACGCUGGCGGUAGGCCUAACACAUGCAAGUCGAACGGCAGCACAGUAAGAGCUUGCUCUUACGGGUGGCGAGUGGCGGACGGGUGAGGAAUACAUCGGAAUCUACUUUUUCGUGGGGGAUAACGUAGGGAAACUUACGCUAAUACCGCAUACGACCUACGGGUGAAAGCAGUGGAUCUUCGCACCUUGCGCGAUUGAAUUAGCCGAUGUCGGAUUAGCUAGUUGGCGGGGUAAAGGCCCACCAAGGCGACGAUCCGUAGCUGGUCUGAGAGGAUGGUCGGCGACACUGGAGCGGAGACACGGUCCAGAGUCCUACGGGAGGCAGCAGUGGGGAAUAGUAGACAAUGGGCGCAAGCCUGAUCCAGCCAUACCGCGUGGGUGAAGAAGGCCUUCGGGUUGUAAAGCCCUUUUGUCGGGAAAGAAAAGCAGCAGGUUGAUACCCCGCUGUUCUGACGGUACCCAAAGAAUAAGCACCGGCUAACUUCGUG
Molecule: ribosomal RNA, 492 nt
Filed under: uncultured bacterium
Lineage: Bacteria
Description: partial 16S ribosomal RNA
Rfam family: Bacterial small subunit ribosomal RNA
Source: RNAcentral